CAAAGAAUAGUUUAAUUAAAAUAUUAAUUUUGGAGAUUAAAGAUAUUAAAUAUAUUAAUUUCUUUGA
Molecule: transfer RNA, 67 nt
Filed under: Cantharis sp. CAN01
Lineage: Eukaryota; Metazoa; Arthropoda; Insecta; Coleoptera; Cantharidae
Description: tRNA-Pro
Source: RNAcentral